RNAcentral lists this ribosomal RNA (458 nucleotides) under uncultured bacterium. Its description in RNAcentral is "partial 16S ribosomal RNA". It matches the Rfam family "Bacterial small subunit ribosomal RNA", at positions 28 to 523 of the family's 1533-position model. The record is from RNAcentral.
GAUGAACGCUGGCGGCGUGCCUAAUACAUGCAAGUCGAGCGGAAAGGCCCUUCGGGGUACUCGAGCGGCGGACGGGUGAGUAACGCGUAAGAAUGUACCCCAAAGUGAGGAAUAACUGCUCGAAAGAGUAGCUAAUGCCGCAUGUGCUCUUCGGAGGAAAGCUUUAUGCGCUUUGGGAACAGCUUGCGUCUGAUUAGCUAGUUGGUAAGGUAACGGCUUACCAAGGCGACGAUCAGUAGCUGGUCUGAGAGGAUGAUCAGCCACACUGGGACUGAGACACGGCCCAGACUCCUACGGGAGGCAGCAGUAGGGAAUUUUCCACAAUGGACGAGAGUCUGAUGGAGCAACGCCGCGUGCUGGAUGAAGGCCUUCGGGUCGUAAACAGCUUUUGUCUGUGACGAAUAUGACGGUAGCAGACGAAUAAGGAUCGGCUAACUACGUGCCAGCCGCCGCGGUAA